RNAcentral lists this non-coding RNA (87 nucleotides) under Heterosigma akashiwo. The record is from RNAcentral. Lineage: Eukaryota; Raphidophyceae; Chattonellales; Chattonellaceae.
GAGCUUGUCGAAAAAAAAGGGAGGAGGGGCUGGCAAGAAGUCUAAAAAGAAGAAGAAAUGAGAUUCUAUCUUUUUCUUUUCAUUUUU